Molecule: ribosomal RNA, 522 nt
Filed under: Triticum aestivum (bread wheat)
Lineage: Eukaryota; Viridiplantae; Streptophyta; Magnoliopsida; Poales; Poaceae
Description: partial small subunit ribosomal RNA
Source: RNAcentral
AUGUCGUUUGGUCUUUGCAACGCACCGGCCACCUUCCAAUGCCUGAUGAACAACAUAUUCGGCCGCUGCGUCUGUAAGUUCAUCAUCAUUUUCCUUGACGACAUAUUGGUCUUCAGCUUUGACCUGCAGGAACACGAACAACAUAUGCGCCUCACACUCGAGCUACUCCGCGAGCAUCAGCUGUUCGCCAAGGCGUCGAAGUGUUCGUUCGCCCAGAGGAGCAUCGAGUACCUGGGCCACAUCAUUUCUCAGGCUGGAGUAGCCACAGACGCAAGCAAGACGAGCGUGAUGCAAGCGUGGCCGGUGCCCUCCACACCAACUGAACUGCGCGGAUUUCUUGGCCUCACCGGCUACUAUCGCAAGUUCGUCCCACAUUACGGCAUCAUCGCGAAGCCGCUCACUCAGCUCCUGACCAAGAAGGGAUUUGAGUGGAGCGACAAGGCCCAGCAGGCGUUCGACAUGCUCAAACAAGCAAUGGUGAGCACGCCAGUGCUCGUGCUCCCCGAUUUCUCAUGCCCCUUC